GAAAAAGGGACGCCGCCUUGUCCGGCUAAAACAGGAUCAAUACCAGUUGAAUUAAAAAAGGACGCAGAGAAGGAACAAAGAAGAAGAAGAAGAAGAAGAAGAAGAAAAAGAAGAAGAAAGAUGCUCGAACUAAAGUUUGAAAAUUUUAAAUACGUACUGAUUCUUAAGGGUAAUACUCGAACUUCUUAUCUGAGUUCUCCUUUUUAAUCUCGUUUGUGUUUGAAGGAUUUCACAAGGUAUAGAAAAUUAAAUAUCAAUAAGAAAUAUUGUGGACAACAAUAAUAUUUUAAGUUACAUCUGAUUCGUAUGUCCAGGGAAAUAAUUUUUUUCUUCUUUGUUAGUAUUAUAUCAAAUAAACUAUUUGAACACCUUUUUCCAAAGAAGAUACUGGACUAGCUUAAGUUAUUUGAGAAUAAAACGAGAUAUCUUGAGAGUUGGGUAUACUAGUUGAUUCGCAGAAAUAAGUCUGUCCCAUGGAGUGAAAACAGGGAAAGAAUUAAGUUCAACAAAAUUUAACCGACUACACUGGUGCCCGUGGAGUUAAUACAUAGAUUGGUUUUGUACUGAUAUAGGUAGUUGAAGAAGUCGAACGAAGUGCUCGCAGCGUCAAGUUCGAUAUUUCGGCACGAGUACUGUGAGUAGUAAUAUUACCACAAUUUGUGUUUUCAUAACCUGCAUGGUUUAUACAUUAUUUUGAAAAUAUAAUAUGUUAUCGAAUGUUUGAAAUUGCAUGUGGGACAAGUUCUUUACUUGAUA
RNAcentral lists this long non-coding RNA (756 nucleotides) under Nicotiana tabacum (common tobacco). RNAcentral describes it as "long non-coding RNA (NTAB_LNC009642)". The record is from RNAcentral. Lineage: Eukaryota; Viridiplantae; Streptophyta; Magnoliopsida; Solanales; Solanaceae.